AGCGAACGCUGGCGGCAGGCUUAACACAUGCAAGUCGAGCGGGCCCUUCGGGGUCAGCGGCGGACGGGUGAGUAACGCGUGGGAACGUGCCUUCUGGUCUGGAAUAACCCUGGGAAACUAGGGCUAAUACCGGAUACGCCCUUUUGGGGAAAGGUUUACUGCCGGAAGAUCGGCCCGCGUCUGAUUAGCUAGUUGGUGGGGUAACGGCCUACCAAGGCGACGUUCAGUAGCUGGUCUGGGAGGAUGAUCAGACACACUUGGACUGAGACACGGCGCAGACUCCGACGGGAGGCAGCAGAGGGGAAUAUUGGACAAUGGGCGCAAGCCUGAUCCAGCCAUGCCGCGUGAGUGAUGAAGGCAUUAGGGUUGUAAAGCGCUUUUAUCCGGGACGAUAAUGACGGUACCGGAUGAAUAAGCCCCGGCUAACUUCGUG
Molecule: ribosomal RNA, 433 nt
Filed under: uncultured bacterium
Lineage: Bacteria
Description: partial 16S ribosomal RNA
Rfam family: Bacterial small subunit ribosomal RNA
Source: RNAcentral